RNA transcript from Hevea brasiliensis (rubber tree), 4149 nucleotides. RefSeq lists it as uncharacterized. The record is from RefSeq and is a predicted model, not a curated record. The transcript is spliced from 13 exons. Lineage: Eukaryota; Viridiplantae; Streptophyta; Magnoliopsida; Malpighiales; Euphorbiaceae.
GAUGGUUUGGCAACCUUACCCAAAAUUCAUUCCCUCCGCUUGCUUCCCCCUUCUGCCUAUUAAUCUUUUCCUCCACUCUCUUUCCUUCCUCUGUCUCUAGCCGCUGAUACGUAGCCCACAGACACAAACGCACAUAUAAAAAAGCACAAUCACAUUGUUUACUGGCAGGCCAAUGAUUAAUUAACACAUACACCAAUGUAUGGUGGCUCCUCUAAGCUCGGCGGCCGAGGUGGCGGCCGGGGAGGCGGUGCCGUAGGCACCAAGCGCCUCUCUUCGUUCCCUCCGCCUCCACCCCACCGGCCUUCUACAGCCACGAACCAUCGCCUCUCCAUCGGAGGCAAUUCCAAUCAUCGCAAUCGCUCCGGUCCCAGCGCUUCCAUGUCGGCAACAACAGCUGCCGUUGAAGAGACCUUCUCCCUUAUCCCUGGUAAUAACCCACCUGCCUUUUCAAUGAUUAUAAGACUGGCGCCGGACUUGGUGGACGAGAUCAGGAGGGCUGAAGCGCAGGGUGGCACUGCCAGGAUUAAGUUUGAUUCAAUGGGCAGUAAUACCAAUGGAAACGUUAUUGAUGUGGGUGGUAAGGAAUUCAGAUUUACAUGGUCGAGGGAAUUUGGUGACCUCUGUGACAUUUAUGAAGAACGACAAAGUGGUGAAGAUGGAAAUGGUUUGCUUGUUGAAUCUGGUUGUGCCUGGCGUAAGGUGAAUGUCCAACGUAUCUUGGAUGAAUCAACCACGAACCAUGUUAAGAUGCGGUCAGAGGAAGCUGAUCGCAAACAUAAAUCACGCAAAGCUAUUGUGUUAGAUCAUGGGAACCCAUCCAUGAAGAGUCAAAUAAAGCAAUUGGCAGCUGCUGAGUCUAAUCCAUGGAGGAUGCCCUUUAAAAAGAAAGAGCCUCCAUUUAAAAAACGGAAAGUUGAAUCAGUAGUCCCCAAAUCUACUUUUAAACCUGGAGUUUCUUCAACCGCUACUGUAAAGGGUAGACGCUCAUCUUCACCUCUGCCAUGUACACCUGAGAAAUCUGUCACUCCAGCAUCUCCGUUUGGAACUGGAAAUGUGUCUAAGGUGAACAUUGAAGAAGUGACACCGACCCAGACUAGAAGUAAAGAGAACGUGACUAAUACAGAGAAAGAAAUCCAGAAUAAGGCUUUUAGAGCUGUACGGGAGACACCUGGGCAUAAAGGGAACUUUGGGACUAAGCCAAUGGAUUUACAGAGUGAGGAUCCUAAAGGGAUGAGCUUGAAGGCCUUGGAGAAAGUUGUUGGGGAUAAAAUUCCUAACUCUACUAAGAAGACAGAACCCAUUAUGAAGAAAAUUGGAACUUCUCAAGCUUCAGGAAGAUAUUUGUCGAAACCAGGAGUGGAGUUGGAAAGCUUCAAGAAACCCUCAUCUGAAAGUGGAAGUUCUCCUGAAGAUGACCAUCGGCAGACUUUUGUUCCUGAAGACAACCAUAAUCACAGACCUGCUACAGAAUCAAGAUUUGCAGAGAAAAGCUCUGCUGUUGGAUUUGAGAAACAUGCCCAGUCAAACUCUAAAUUUGAUGAAGAAUCAAAUACAUUAGAAAAAAUUGAUAUCCAACAGCAUUUACCUGAUUUGUUUGGUGAGAAGAAAGUCUCUGACAAUAGUGAGGGGCAGGCCGGCAGCUCUAGUGAUAGUGGCAGUGACAGUGAUAGUGAAAGUGACAGUAGUGACAGUGGCAGUGACAGUGGAAGCCACAGUAGAAGCAGAAGUAGAAGCCCAGUAGGAAGUGGAAGUGGGAGUAGUAGUGAUAGUGAAAGUGAUGCUUCAUCCAACAGCAAAGAGGGCUCUGAUGAGGAUGUGGAUAUUCUAAGUGAUGAUGACAAAGAGCCCCAACAUAAACUACAGGCCUCUGAACCAAAGUUCUCACUAUCACCAGAUCAAUGGCGGUCUGGGCAGAAUGGGACAGAUGAGAAGCAAGAUGGUGAUGGAUCUGAUCCAGUUGACGUUGAGGGUCUUGGAUCUGCUGCCCUUGACGUUGAAGGUCAUGAGUCUGAUGCUGUUGACAUUGAGAAAGAUUUGGCUGAUGACGAGAAGGAAGUUGAAUUGGCUGCAAAUGAUAGUUUUGUUCCCAGCAAAGAAGGCAACAAACCUGUGGAAGGAGAUAAAUUUAUUUUCUCUGAUCAUGAUGCCAUCCAAGAGCCCCAAACUUUCUUAGGAGCACUGUUUGAUGAUAAUGAAAAUAUGGUUAGGGACAGCUUCAGGCAUGAGCAAUCUGACAGUUCCGAGAGGUUAUCCAAAAGGGUUCCUGAUGUGAAGCACUCCGAUGAGAAAUCUGAAUGUGCUAAAAGAUUGAAAGUUGAAAGCUUGUCUCAAGCGUUCAUUUCUGAGGGUAGGGAUGCCUGGUUAUCUCAGAGUCCUCGCAAUAGAGAUGUUGAAGAAACCUACAGGGUCCCUGCCAUUCAAGGAAUUAAUAGAACAGAUAGGCAAGGAAAUGCCGAUUUUGCCCCACAAAAGGCUUAUAACCAGGCAUUUUCUGGAAAACCUAGUUCAGAUUUUCAGCAACCAGGACAAAGUUCUUCUGAUAAAAAUGCUCAGUCUAAGGCAUCUAGUUCUGAUACAACACGGAGAUCUAAACACUCUGGGAGCUCAGGACAAGGUCGUAAAUUAUCUGAAAAAGGUUCUUAUGUGCAUGAAGGUUUUCCCAUUCAAAGAGAAAAGUCUUCCAGGGACACUCAAAAUGAGGAUAAUUUUGUGAAGGAGAAAAAGGUGCCAAGAAAACCCAAGGAUGGUGGAGCUGGAGGCAGACACUCAGCUCCCUUUGAUUCUCAUUAUAGAAAACAUGGUGAAACAUUUGGGAAAUUCAAGGAUGCUACACAAGUUACAAACUCACACAUGGCGUCUUCACCAAUGGAUGGCAAUAGAGUUGAUAUGGAAAAAUUCCCAGCUGUCAGUGAAAGAACCCUCCAAAGAGAGCUUUCAGAAUUGGAGUCAGGAGAAUUUCGUGAGCCAUUGCUUGAUGAAGCACCAGUUAAAAAAAUUUUUGAAAGGAAGGGUUCUUUUAAACAGUCAGAGAACAAACCAAGCACUUCAAACAACCAUAUUUCAGAUUUAAGUAAGGUAAAACCUGUUGGAAGGGCAGCAUUGGACUCAGGAAAGCUUUCUCCACCCAGUCUAGGUACUGGGUUUAAGGAGACUCCUGAUCAUCAUACUGAAGAUUUAAUGAGAUCUCACCAUAAGAUUUUGCCGUCUCAUUCACGACAGCUUUCAAGUAUAGAUAACACUGAAGUUGGAUCACACCUUGGCAAGUUAGCGGAUGCAAAUAGCAGAUUAAGACAGAAUGAAGCUGGGGCAAAACCAGGAAAUAGUAUCGAAGGCUAUGGAGAAAGCCAUAAAAGAGCCCCCGCCAAUGGGCAGCAGCUGCAUGACUCUAAACGUGGGCAGGUUUCCCACAUGAAGAGGGAAAGCAAAACACAGACAUCUAAUAUGAAGGCUGACUUGGUAGAUGGACAGAAGGAUAUAAUUUUGACUGAGGUCAAUAAUAAUGCUCGAAAGAGGAGAGAAUCUUCUUCUGAGGAAGACAGCUCUUCUUAUUCUAAAUAUGAGAAGGAUGUGCCAGAGCUUAAGGGACCAAUUAAGGAUUUUCUUCAGUACGAAGAAUAUGUGCAGGAAUACCGUGAUAAGUAUGAUAGUUACUGCUCCUUGAACAAGAUCCUAGAGAAUUACAGGAAAGAUUUCCAAAAACUGGGAAAUGACCUUGAAUUUGCGAAAGGCAGGGAUAUGGACAGAUAUCAUAAGAUCUUGCUGCAGUUGAAGGAAUCUUAUCGUCAUUGUGGGGCGAGACACAAACAGUUGAAGAAGAUAUUCAUUGUGCUUCAUGAAGAACUAAAGAGCCUUAAGCAAAGGAUUAAGGAAUACGCUGUCUCAUACACAAAAGAUUGAACAUUUCUCAUAUUGCACCAAGACAUGAUCCCAUUUUUCCUAUGCAAGCCUAACCUGUGUACACCCCUGGCAAUUUAUAGAGGAGUAGCUUCUGGCGAAUUUCCAAUUGAUGAACAGAAGUUCUCAUGGUUGAGAAGAGUUUGCAGUAGUUGAUGUACAUUUUAUUUAAUUUUGUAUGAAUUUUAAUAUGAAUAUUGAUGUAAAGUUAUUAGGCUCAUUCUUAUAUUAAUUUGAACUUAUAUUUAUUAGAAA